GCGGCCCCCGAUGGGCUCCGCCCGGCAGCGCCCAGUGCGGUGCCCAGGCCGAGCUCCACGCGGUUCCCCGCAGUGUAGAGCACAGGCAGAUCCGCCGUGCCGCGCGCGGCCGUCAGGGAGCGCUGAGGGGCGGCCGCGGCCCGAGACACGCGGGAGGAACUUGGAAGAGAAACCUGCAAUGAAAGCCUGGGAGCUGACAGAAGCUGGUUUGCAACAGCUGUGGACAACUUCUUCCUCCAGCAGCAACAGUGAGAACAAGGAGUGUUUUCUACAUCAGGAAGAUAGAGUAUUCCUGGCAGCAGCACUGCGACAGUGAGAAUCAUGCCAGCCUGCCUUGGGAAUCAGAGUUCAGCUCACCAUGAAAAUGAACAAUGAAUCUGUGACGGAGUGGAGAAUGAUUCACCCAUUGUUCUGUUUU
RNAcentral lists this long non-coding RNA (418 nucleotides) under Gallus gallus (chicken). RNAcentral describes it as "long non-coding RNA NONGGAT001355". Lineage: Eukaryota; Metazoa; Chordata; Aves; Galliformes; Phasianidae. The record is from RNAcentral.